This 468-nucleotide ribosomal RNA is filed under the name uncultured bacterium. Its description in RNAcentral is "partial 16S ribosomal RNA". It matches the Rfam family "Bacterial small subunit ribosomal RNA", at positions 28 to 507 of the family's 1533-position model. The record is from RNAcentral.
GACGAACGCUGGCGGCGUGCUUAACACAUGCAAGUCGAACGGAAAGGCCCUGCUUUUGUGGGGUGCUCGAGUGGCGAACGGGUGAGUAACACGUGAGUAACCUUCCCUUGACUUUGGGAUAACUUCAGGAAACUGGGGCUAAUACCGGAUAGGAGCUCCUGCUGCAUGGUGGGGGUUGGAAAGUUUCGGCGGUUGGGGAUGGACUCGCGGCUUAUCAGCUUGUUGGUGGGGUAGUGGCUUACCAAGGCUUUGACGGGUAGCCGGCCUGAGAGGGUGACCGGCCACAUUGGGACUGAGAUACGGCCCAGACUCCUACGGGAGGCAGCAGUGGGGAAUAUUGCACAAUGGGCGGAAGCCUGAUGCAGCAACGCCGCGUGCGGGAUGACGGCCUUCGGGGUGUAAACCGCUUUCGCCUGUGACGAAGCGUGAGUGACGGUAAUGGGUAAAGAAGCACCGGCUAACUACGUG